This 75-nucleotide transfer RNA is filed under the name Gillisella vitis. RNAcentral describes it as "Agrobacterium vitis tRNA-Gly". It matches the Rfam family "tRNA". Rfam says of the family: Transfer RNA (tRNA) molecules are approximately 80 nucleotides in length. RNAcentral also lists the same sequence under 1085 other names. Lineage: Bacteria; Pseudomonadati; Pseudomonadota; Alphaproteobacteria; Hyphomicrobiales; Rhizobiaceae. The record is from RNAcentral.
GCGGGUGUAGCUCAGGGGUAGAGCACAACCUUGCCAAGGUUGGGGUCGAGCGUUCGAAUCGCUUCACCCGCUCCA